UACGGAGGGGGCUAGCGUUGUUCGGAAUUACUGGGCGUAAAGCGCACGUAGGCGGCUUUGUAAGUUAGAGGUGAAAGCCCGGGGCUCAACUCCGGAAUUGCCUUUAAGACUGCAUCGCUAGAAUUGUGGAGAGGUAAGUGGAAUUCCGAGUGUAGAGGUGAAAAUUCGUAGAUAUUCGGAAGAAACACCAGUGGCGAAGGCGACUUACUGGACACAUAUUGACGCUGAGGUGCGAAAGCGUGGGGAGCAAACAGG
This 255-nucleotide ribosomal RNA is filed under the name uncultured bacterium. Its description in RNAcentral is "partial 16S ribosomal RNA". It matches the Rfam family "Bacterial small subunit ribosomal RNA", at positions 524 to 776 of the family's 1533-position model. The record is from RNAcentral.